UACGUAGGGGGCAAGCGUUAUCCGGAUUUACUGGGUGUAAAGGGAGCGCAGACGGUCAGGUAAGUCUGAUGUGAAAGACCGGGGCUCAACCCCGGGCCUGCAUUGGAAACUGUUUGACUGGAGUGCCGGAGAGGUAAGCGGAAUUCCUAGUGUAGCGGUGAAAUGCGUAGAUAUUAGGAGGAACACCGGUGGCGAAGGCGGCUUACUGGACGGUAACUGACGUUGAGGCUCGAAAGCGUGGGGAGCAAAC
RNAcentral lists this ribosomal RNA (250 nucleotides) under uncultured prokaryote. RNAcentral describes it as "partial 16S ribosomal RNA". It matches the Rfam family "Bacterial small subunit ribosomal RNA", at positions 524 to 773 of the family's 1533-position model. The record is from RNAcentral.